Pistacia vera is the source of this 107-nucleotide small nucleolar RNA. The record is from RefSeq and is a predicted model, not a curated record. Lineage: Eukaryota; Viridiplantae; Streptophyta; Magnoliopsida; Sapindales; Anacardiaceae.
AUUUGAUGAUGAGGGAAACUAACACAUAAUUUCUUGAAUCACUCCCAAUACUCAUAUAAAGUCUUCCCAUUAUACUUUCGAAUACCACAAAUUUUUUUCUUUCUAAU